GGGCGCGAGGCAGCCGCGCCGCAUGCGCGCGACAAACCCUAGCGGCCUAGCCUCCCCAAGCCCCACAGGCCGCACUCCUCCUCCUCCCCCAUCCCACCCUCGUUAGCCGCCGCCACCAUUAUGCCUCCCUCCUCUCCGUCCUACAACCACGCCACCGGAGGAAGCCGUCGUUCGUGGCGCCAUAUCGCUGCCGGGGUGCCGCGUAAGAGGCUAGGGGACGCCGCCACCGCAAGCCGGCAGGAAGCCAACGGCGAGCACGCCGUCAAGAUGCCGCCAGGAGGACCUACCAUCCGGUCCAUGUCGUCAAGCGAGGGCCGCUUGUUGCGUCGUCGUGGGAGGAGGCGCACCAUCGAGGAGCAGCAGAGGAGGAGACGAGGACCAUCAAGGAGUAGCAGGGGAGGAGACGAGGACCAUCGAGGAGCAGCAGGGGACCGCCGAACUCCCUCUUCCCUUCCGGCUGCACCUUCUCCGUGAGCUCCUUCCAGUCCCUCGCUUCUCCACUCCUACUUUUCACUCUCCCUCCCAUGCUCGUCAUGUGUGCUUUCUUUUGAUUUGGUUGUGCCUGCAGGUCCAUGGACAUUGUCAGAAUGGUCAAUUUAUUCUGGCGUAUUAUUUUCAGAUAUCAUGUUUGUCCAAGCCUCCAAGAUUCAAUUAGAUAGCAUUGUCUUCUCCCCGAGCAGCAAAAUGGAAGUUAGGAAUGUCAACUCUGCUGUGUGUCAGGCUCAGCGAUGCCAGCCUCUGCCCCCUCCCCAAACGAUACGGUCUGCUUCAGUUCACGCAGUGUCUAGGUGAAGAAUUUGUGGCCAGCAACGAAAAGAUGUCUCUUGAAAAUCUAGACAGUAAAGGAAAAAAGAUACGCCAACACUGUUCUACAAUCUGUUGCAUCUCUGUUCUCCUCGUUAAGGAGAGGGGAGGCGGCCAAUGACAGGGAGAAGGAGCAGGCCGUCGAGGAGUGCAAGCAAAAGAAUAAAUAGCACGGAGAACAUAUCAGUGCUAUAUGUGUGUCUAAGGGCUCCAAGAGAUGCAGUCAUAGACAGUGACUGGUCCCUGAAGUUUGGGACGUUAAGGAUAAAAGCAAGCAGUUUUCAGAAACUUUUAGUUGUGGCUCAUGGGUUGGAGCAACUGGGAAAUCAUUGACAAAUGUGGUCUCAGUUGGAGUUGGUGGUAGCUUCCUUGGACCUCUGUUUGUGCAUGCAGCUCUCCAGAUUGACCCGAAACAGCAGAGUCCGCCAAAGGCUGGCAACUAAGAUUGUAAGCGUGUACUUGGGGUAUGUUUCUGUAUUUCUUUUGUUGACACCUGUUACAUGUUCUUCUCGCACUUCCUAUGGAUGAUCAAAAAUAUUAAAUGUGAUCGAGCAGAGGCUUCCUUUUUAUCUUUCUGCACCAUUCAUGCAACCCUAACCAGGAAUUCUUUCAUUAUUGGAGUCUUUCAUUGUAUGUAUAACUAUAUAUUGAUGCAAGGUGGGAGAAGAAGGAGGUGGCUGGCCUUUAUUGUGUUUUGGUGUGGUUCUCUCCUAUUUAAUGGUAGAUAUGAUGUAUAGGUUCAAGCAUGUGAUGUUUCUUUCAGUGCAUAUUUGUGCUUUACGAUGUUUGAUGCACAUAUAGUUGAACCUCUUACUCCAUGUAAUACUUUGCCAAAGAAGAAUUUAUUAAUGUUGGUGUUUUUUCUCUUUUCAGAUUUUAGCCUGGGUGCAUAAACAUACAUGCCGCACAUUAUAUUCAAAUUUCAGUGCAAGAUUAAACUGGGGAUAAAUCAUUAUGGAAGGGAAAGGAAUGAAUAACAAACUAUAUAGAUUUAUUAUCAUAUCAUUUAUUUUUGAUUGCAUGAUCUUAAUUGCUCAUCUCUGAAAAUAUUCUAGGCUCUUGCUCUUGGAAGAUUAGACUGAUGUGGUUUUGCUUUAUGAAUAAAUGGCGUGCUAACUUACUGGUUUGAUUUAGGUGUGUAGGCAGAGUAAACAAAAGAAUCAUAAUCCCAGGUUUAGGCAUGCACAUGGUCACUGAUCACAAAGUAGGUAGGAACAUGUGCAGUAUUGUGAUUUUCAGCAAGAGAAAGAGAAACAUAGUUAAUUGUACGUAUUUUAAGCUACACUAUGUGAUGUUGCUCUAUUAUAAAGGCCUUGCUUAAAUGCUUGGUUUGCAACAUGUAUUGCAUUUCCAGGGAUUAUCCUUUUGCUUAUUUAGUAUUUCCUAUGUUAUAUUUCGUCCUCAGUUGGGUCAUUGUAUGUGAUUAUUUACUCAUUUUGAGCCAUUUUGCAACCAAGCUUGACUUCUUUUAUUUUGCGAUCUGAGUUAUGCACACCAAAAUUAGCCCACGUAAGUUUGAACCAUAUUGAACAUGUUAGAUCACUCUCCUGUAUGUGAUGAUUUACUCUAUGGAGCCAUGUUGUGACCUAGCUUGAGUUCUUUUAUUUGCGAUCUGAGCUGCAAAAUAAAAAUAAAAAUAAAAAUAGUCCACGUAAUUCGAACCAUAUCUGAACAUUUUAGUAUCUGAAUACUGAAAUUACCAAACAUGAUCUUCACUUCGCCAUUUGUGACCCCACAGUGCUUUAACUAAGCUAGCUAUAGUAAUAUUAUGUUUUACAUGGCUAUGCAAGUUAAAGGUUCUAAUAUAGUGUACGUUUAUCAAUAUUUUGUGUUAUAUUGAGUAAUAUACUUCACAUAUAAGUUUUAAGCUAAUAGCUCCUAAUAAUUGUUUCUCCUCUUUGCAGUUGCCAUUUUAGUCAUAUUUUUUCUGAGAUAAAGAAUAAUAUUGAGAUGCAUUUCCUUUCUGAUGAUGAGAUUGGGUAUGCCUAUGUUUUGUAUUUUUCAGUAUUAUUUUAUUUUCGGCUCCGCUUAGCUGAGAGAGCUAAGAGAUAAUAUGGUAAACAAUUUCUAUCAAGUGGGUGAGCUCCAUUUUUCAAGGUAAGUCAGGUGACAGCCAAAAAAAUACCAAGGAGAUGAGUCUCUUAUCAGUUGUUUUGAUCUUAUCCAGGUUCUAUUUUCUUUCAGGCCAUGAGUUACGAUGUCCUGGUUAGAGCUACUACAUUCAAAGAGUAAAUCUGUUUCAUUGUAUCUGUACAUUAUAUGAAAAAGGUGCAUCUAUUAUGCCUCGUAGAAAUUUCAGCUGAGCAAUUGUGUAGACUUACGAAGCUAUCAUGACGGAUGUUAGUGAUUUCUGUAUUAGGGCCAUGUUACAUCUCUAGGGUUGAAUUAAUGGCUAGAAAUUCAGAGUUACAUAGCUGAAAACAGGGUUGCUCGAAGCAAACAAGCUGCUUAUUCAGUAUUUUUGACACUCAUGGAAAAUGUAUAUGCUCAUCCUAAAUUCCUAAUUAUUAUUAUAUCACAUAACUGAAAGUGCAUUAGACCAAUGGUGUUAUCAAAAAUAAAUAAUUUUUGCCCCAUAGCUGAACCGUGUCUUUUCUCUGUGUGUAUAUAUGUUAGAGAUGUGUAAGAUUUAGACAUUUUUAUUCAUUUGUUAACUUUACCAAUGUAUGGAUGACAUGCUUCAUUAUGUUAUAUCACAUGUGAAGGUGCAUUAUACCUGUGGUUUAUUAGAAUGCAUAAUUUCGGUCAAAUAAUUGAGUUGUUCUUUUCUUCGGUGUAUAUACAAGUUACAGAUGUGCAUGAUUAUGUUUAUUCUCUACAUUUGGUAAAUUCACCUAUGUAUGGCUGACAUACUUCUUUAGGUUAUGUUUCUAAAGCUCCAUGCUUAAUCGUCCAGAAUGUUUCCAAGUGACUGCUUUACACAUGGGAGACUGGAUGAAUGGAGGAGUUCAGAGAAGCUGGUGUUAUGUUACAUAUGGUCUUCAAGCUAAUGUUAUGUUUCUUGCAUGGUUUGUGUAUUUGUUGCAAAAACAUAGUACAAGAAAAAGAUCUAUGCUCAUGAAGAUGGCAGAAGGGAACUACAUGUGGAACAAGAACCACUAGCACUGACCAGUUGGGCAUCUGGAUAGUGGUAGUGAACAAAAAUUGCUUGCCCUAUAGAGUCAAUGUAAUCUACUACUAUCCCACUUGCUGAUUUUUAUAUUAUGAAACCAUAGUAUGUAUUUACACUCCUGCUGUGAGAUUGUACUAUGUAAAUUAUGGGAGGACAAUGUAGGCCUUUAUAUGCAAAUAACUCCUUGUUGAAA
This is a long non-coding RNA of Triticum dicoccoides, 4109 nucleotides long. RefSeq lists it as uncharacterized. The transcript is spliced from 8 exons. The record is from RefSeq and is a predicted model, not a curated record. NCBI's taxonomy places the organism in Eukaryota, Viridiplantae, Streptophyta, Magnoliopsida, Poales, Poaceae.